UAGAGUUUGAUCCUGGCUCAGGAUGAACGCUGGCGGCGUGCUUAACACAUGCAAGUCGAGCGGAGAUAUUUAAAGGAAGUUUUCGAAUGGAAUUUAAAUAUCUUAGCGGCGGACGGGUGAGUAACGCGUGGGUAACCUGCCUCAUACAGGGGGAUAACAGUUGGAAACGACUGCUAAUACCGCAUAAGCGCACAGUGCUGCAUAGCACAGUGUGAAAAACUCCGGUGGUAUGAGAUGGACCCGCGUCUGAUUAGGUAGUUGGUAGGGUAACGGCCUACCAAGCCGACGAUCAGUAGCCGACCUGAGAGGGUGACCGGCCACAUUGGGACUGAGACACGGCCCAAACUCCUACGGGAGGCAGCAGUGGGGAAUAUUGGACAAUGGGGGAAACCCUGAUCCAGCGACGCCGCGUGAGUGAAGAAGUAUUUCGGUAUGUAAAGCUCUAUCAGCAGGGAAGAAAAUGACGGUACCUGACUAAGAAGCCCCGGCUAACUACGUGCCAGCAGCCGCGGUAAUACGUAGGGGGCAAGCGUUAUCCGGAUUUACUGGGUGUAAAGGGAGCGUAGACGGCACUGCAAGUCUGGAGUGAAAGCCCGGGGCUCAACCCCGGGACUGCUUUGGAAACUGUGGCGCUAGAGUGCAGGAGAGGUAAGUGGAAUUCCUAGUGUAGCGGUGAAAUGCGUAGAUAUUAG
This 692-nucleotide ribosomal RNA is filed under the name bacterium. Its description in RNAcentral is "bacterial SSU rRNA". It matches the Rfam family "Bacterial small subunit ribosomal RNA", at positions 1 to 700 of the family's 1533-position model. The record is from RNAcentral.